This 800-nucleotide long non-coding RNA is filed under the name Equus caballus (horse). RNAcentral's name for it is "lncRNA (ENSECAG00000054289.1)". The record is from RNAcentral. Lineage: Eukaryota; Metazoa; Chordata; Mammalia; Perissodactyla; Equidae.
GUUGCAAGGUGGUGAAAACACACUUGGCACCUUUCUGCGUGAGAUCUGUCCUAGAGACAGUUUAUCACAUGGUAAACGAGCGUUGGCUCUGGGACUCAGUGACACUGCCUACGUGGCUGUGGUAAAAAGACUACAACACAGACAAGACCUUGGAACUGGACCUGCUAACUGGGGCCUCCAGAAGGGGAAGAAAGCCUUAACACAACACCUGGAAUCCAUCUGUGGGCAUCUGGGCUCAGACUUGCAGAGGACACCCUCCUUCUCCUCAUAAUUAACGAGGAUCUGUCGUGUCCUGGCCUCUCAGGGAUAUGGACAUGUCCUCUGCCAGGUGACAGCUGGGGAAUCUCCUAACGUCUUACAUUCUAUUAGGGGCACUUGAAGACAGUAUCUCAACUCAAAAGAGUGCCUCCCACCAUAGGAUUCCAGGCACUGGCUCAGAGGGACUCAACUCUGGCUGCAGUCAUGGUGAACUACAUUUCUGCAUUCUGGAAAAUCUGAUGAACUGGUGUCAGUAUUUAAACUGAUUUCCAUACCUUGAAGAAGUUACGAGGCUAUACAAGCUUUAAGAAUGCAGGAGUCUUGCCCAUCUCGUUCACCGCAGUAUCUCCAGCUCCUGGCACGGAGGCUGGCCCAUAAUCAGUUCCUGGCAGGCUGCCAAAGCCUUUCUAAGACAAGUUGCCUCUGUCUGUCCAUCUGUCCAUUUAGGAUUGGGGAAGGAGGAGGUGAGAUGACAGGGAGUAGAGCUGCAGCUUCAAGAAAAGUUGAACUCUCCUUGAUGACAGCAAAAUGUAGGGGAACAG